AACGAACGCUGGCGGCAUGCCUAACACGUGCAAGUCGAACGAGACCUUCGGGUCUAGUGGCGCACGGGUGCGUAACGCGUGGGAAUCUGCCCUUUGCUUCGGAAUAACAGUUAGAAAUGACUGCUAAUACCGGAUGAUGUCUUCGGACCAAAGAUUUAUCGGCAAAGGAUGAGCCCGCGUAGGAUUAGGUAGUUGGUGGGGUAAAGGCCUACCAAGCCGACGAUCCUUAGCUGGUCUGAGAGGAUGAUCAGCCACACUGGGACUGAGACACGGCCCAGACUCCUACGGAGGCAGCAGUGGGGAAUAUUGGACAAU
RNAcentral lists this ribosomal RNA (315 nucleotides) under uncultured bacterium. RNAcentral describes it as "bacterial SSU rRNA". It matches the Rfam family "Bacterial small subunit ribosomal RNA", at positions 29 to 372 of the family's 1533-position model. The record is from RNAcentral.